Molecule: ribosomal RNA, 465 nt
Filed under: Vreelandella stevensii
Lineage: Bacteria; Pseudomonadati; Pseudomonadota; Gammaproteobacteria; Oceanospirillales; Halomonadaceae
Description: partial 16S ribosomal RNA
Rfam family: Bacterial small subunit ribosomal RNA
Source: RNAcentral
CCUACGGGUGGCAGCAGUGGGGAAUAUUGGACAAUGGGCGAAAGCCUGAUCCAGCCAUGCCGCGUGUGUGAAGAAGGCCUUCGGGUUGUAAAGCACUUUCAGUGGGGAAGAAAGCCUUGGGGCUAAUACCCUCGAGGAAGGACAUCACCCACAGAAGAAGCACCGGCUAACUCCGUGCCAGCAGCCGCGGUAAUACGGAGGGUGCGAGCGUUAAUCGGAAUUACUGGGCGUAAAGCGCGCGUAGGCGGUCUGAUAAGCCGGUUGUGAAAGCCCCGGGCUCAACCUGGGAACGGCAUCCGGAACUGUCAGGCUAGAGUGCAGGAGAGGAAGGUAGAAUUCCCGGUGUAGCGGUGAACUGCGUAGAGAUCGGGAGGAAUACCAGUGGCGAAGGCGGCCUUCUGGACUGACACUGACGCUGAGGUGCGAAAGCGUGGGUAGCAAACAGGAUUAGAUACCCGUGUAGUC